GUCAAAGGGAUAUGGAUGGACAAAAAUAGUGUUGAUAAUUGACCCGUAUUGGAAAAUUAUCCUUUUUGAUCAAUGUGUAGGCCGUUCAAGCGAAGCAUCAGAAUGAUUGGGAAGUUGUGAAACAUGGUUGGCAUGCUCAGGUACUUGGUGAUCCCCCACCCAAAUAGAUGAAGAACAUGCCCAGACAAGAAUAUGUAGCUCACUUGAGAUGGUAAUUUGGUGCUACUGAUGUGAAACUUUCUGGUGAACCAAAACUCCCCUUUUUUCUGCACCCAUUCUCAAUGGACAUAAGGAAUGAAUUUCAUAUCUUAUUCGUCAAUUUUGGGCGAAACUGUCACACCCCCAAAAUCCACCAUGCG
Long non-coding RNA from Helianthus annuus (common sunflower), 359 nucleotides. RefSeq lists it as uncharacterized. The record is from RefSeq and is a predicted model, not a curated record. The transcript is spliced from 3 exons. Lineage: Eukaryota; Viridiplantae; Streptophyta; Magnoliopsida; Asterales; Asteraceae.